This 468-nucleotide ribosomal RNA is filed under the name uncultured bacterium. RNAcentral's name for it is "partial 16S ribosomal RNA". It matches the Rfam family "Bacterial small subunit ribosomal RNA", at positions 28 to 507 of the family's 1533-position model. The record is from RNAcentral.
GACGAACGCUGGCGGCGUGCUUAACACAUGCAAGUCGAACGGAAAGGCCCUGCGUUUGUGGGGUUCUCGAGUGGCGAACGGGUGAGUAACACGUGUGUAACCUGCCCUUGACUUUGGGAUAACUUCUGGAAACUGGGGCUAAUACCGGAGAGGAGCUCCUGCUGCACGGUGGGGGUUGGAAAGUUUCGGCUGUGGUGGAUGGUCUCGCGGGUUAUCAGCUAGUUGGGGGGGUAGUGGCUUACCAAGCGUUUGACGGGUAGCCGGCGUGGGAGCGGAGACGGGGACAAUAGGCCUACGGGAGGCAGCAGUAGGGAACGGGAGGCAGCAGUCGGAAACCUUGCGCAGUGGGGCGGAGCCUGUGACGAAGACCUUGGGUGCGGGAUGACGGCUUUCGGGUUGUAAACAGAUUUGGCAGGAGACGUAGCGUGAGUGACGGUAAUGGGUAAAGAAGCACCGGCUAACUACGUG